UCUCGACUAGUAUAUCGGUUGAGUACACGCGCCUGUCAUGGUCCUGGGAGUUGAACCCACCAGACGUCGCGCGAAAGCUGGGUUCGACUCCCAGGUCGAGAG
Non-coding RNA from Favolaschia claudopus, 102 nucleotides. NCBI's taxonomy places the organism in Eukaryota, Fungi, Basidiomycota, Agaricomycetes, Agaricales, Mycenaceae. The record is from the annotation of a GenBank genome assembly.